CCUACGGGAGGCAGCAGUGAGGAAUAUUGGUCAAUGGGCGAGAGCCUGAACCAGCCAUGCCGCGUGCAGGAAGAAGGAUCUAUGGUUUGUAAACUUCUUUUAUAUGGGGGUAAAGUGAGGAACGUGUUCCUUUUUGUAAGUAACAUACGAAUAAGCAUCGGCUAACUCCGUGCCAGCAGCCGCGGUAAUACGGCGGAUGCGAGCGUUAUCAGGAUUUAUUGGGUUUAAAGGGUGCGUAGGUGGUUAAUUAAGUCAGCGGUGAAAGUUUGGGGCUCAACUCUACAAUUGCCGUUGAUACUGGUUGACUAGAGUAUAGUUGAGGUAGGCGGAAUGUGUGGUGUAGCGGUGAAAUGCAUAGAUAUCACGCAGAACACCGAUUGCGAAGGCAGCUUACUAAACUAUAACUGACGCUGAAGCACGAAAGCGUGGGGAGCAAACAGGAUUAGAUACCCUUGUAGUC
RNAcentral lists this ribosomal RNA (460 nucleotides) under uncultured bacterium. RNAcentral's name for it is "partial 16S ribosomal RNA". It matches the Rfam family "Bacterial small subunit ribosomal RNA", at positions 338 to 795 of the family's 1533-position model. The record is from RNAcentral.